This 253-nucleotide ribosomal RNA is filed under the name uncultured bacterium. RNAcentral describes it as "partial 16S ribosomal RNA". It matches the Rfam family "Bacterial small subunit ribosomal RNA", at positions 524 to 776 of the family's 1533-position model. The record is from RNAcentral.
UACGGGGGGGGUAAGCGUUGUUCGGAAUUACUGGGCGUAAAGGGCUCGUAGGCGGCCAACUAAGUCAGACGUGAAAUCCCUCAGCUUAACUGGGGAACUGCGUCUGAUACUGGAUGGCUUGGAUUCGGGAGAGGAAUGCGGAAUUCCAGGUGUAGCGGUGAAAUGCGUAGAUAUCUGGAGGAACACCGGUGGCGAAGGCGGCAUCCUGGACCGAUACUGACGCUGAGGAGCGAAAGCCAGGGGAGCAAACGGG